AGUGCAAGUGGUUCCCACAAAUGCCUCCUUCUUUUCCCUCUUCCUUGAGGACACACUGCUGCUAUCCUUCGUGGCUACAAACUGCCCAAGAUUCAUUGUGCGCCCAAAGAGAAGAAACAAAUAAAUAAAUAAUGGUGACCUCAAGAGGUGCAGAUCCCGCAUUUAAAUGGAGUCUGGUUCACCCAAGGAAGGAGCAACCAUCCAGCCAUUGGAUUCCUUGAAGAGAGGCUUCGGAACAGCAGAGAGAGGCUGAGAUCGCAGAGCAGCUCACGCAGCCGAGACCGCCACAAAGCAGUGAAGAAGGCGCCUGUAGGACACGCAUACCAGAAAGAGCCAUACAGUUUAAAGACUGGCUGAGACACGUGACAUGACAGUUCGCAGCCCCUCAGCAAGGUGGAGCUAUACGUGCUGGAUACAGCAGUGUACAGGUCCAAGAUGAUCAGGGGAAACAAGUGGGACAUCCAGGAGACCUGCCAAGAGUUUCUGUAUCUACUCACUCCAGGCAUGGUAAAUUAGGAAGGACUAUAUGUUGAGGAUUCAUUGUUAAUAACAAUCUUUUAUCUGCAUGUUAGCUGCCACAUUUAAUUUGUUUUAGGUUGCACAAGACUUUGAAGUCUUACAUGGAGAGACUGCAUCAGAACUCUUCGAAACCUGGCCGCCGUUUUAUGCCAAAAAGAUUCUGUCCCUGGCGACACGGGAAGGGAAUAGUGUUGUUUUUGGCGGCCUGUUUUAAUUUUAGUUUUAGCCUAGUCUUUGUGUAAAACUGUCAUUUUAGGUUUUAUUAGUUUUAGUCACGUUUGUAAUCUUUUUAGACUAGUCAAGUUUCAGUCGACUAAAAGUCUGAGCAUUUUAGUCAGAAUUAUCCAUGACUAUUUUCGUCUAGUUUUAGUCAAUGAAAUUGUACUUAAGUCUCCUGCCCUUUGCUUCUGUUAUUUUUGCGUGACACCACAUAGAGAUAUUGAACUAGUGAUACUUUGGUCUGUCAUCCACAUCGGUGCAUCCACAGUUGAAUGAAUGUUUGGUGAGAUUAUCGCACUUUCCAGCACAAUCCUUGUGCAGCCAGUCCUUGCACAUUUGGCACUGCACCCAUUCCAGAGACUCCACAUCUGGGUAUAUAAGUCUUAUCACAUAAAGGACAUGUUAGAAAUUAAAUACUCAUACACUAUCCAAUUGUUAUCCUUGUACAGUGUGCAUGUGUUAUGUGUAUUAAGGUCCUUCUUGGUAACUAAGCUGAGUGUCCUGCUCAGCCUUUCUCUUUAGCCUGAAGACUGGAGCAUGCUUUCCCUCAAGAGCUCCUAACAUUCCCUGGUCCAGUGGGCAAAGACUUUUCCAUAACUGAAAUGAAACUAUAUCAUUAAAAUGUAAAUACAGGGAAGUUGAACAACUCACUUCCAGUCCCCA
Acanthopagrus latus (yellowfin seabream) is the source of this 1401-nucleotide long non-coding RNA. RefSeq lists it as uncharacterized. NCBI's taxonomy places the organism in Eukaryota, Metazoa, Chordata, Actinopteri, Spariformes, Sparidae. The record is from RefSeq and is a predicted model, not a curated record. The transcript is spliced from 4 exons.